UACGAAGGGGGCUAGCGUUGCUCGGAAUCACUGGGCGUACAGCGCACGUAGGCGGCUUCUUAAGUCAGGGGUGAAAUCCUGGAGCUCAACUCCAGAACUGCCUUUGAUACUGAGGAGCUUGAGUCCGGGAGAGGUGAGUGGAACUGCGAGUGUAGAGGUGAAAUUCGUAGAUAUUCGCAAGAACACCAGUGGCGAAGGCGGCUCACUGGCCCGGUACUGACGCUGAGGUGCGAAAGCGUGGGGAGCAAACAGG
RNAcentral lists this ribosomal RNA (253 nucleotides) under uncultured bacterium. Its description in RNAcentral is "partial 16S ribosomal RNA". It matches the Rfam family "Bacterial small subunit ribosomal RNA", at positions 524 to 776 of the family's 1533-position model. The record is from RNAcentral.